GUCUUUUCAUUGAGCACCUUUCUCUUGAUUGGUGGCAGUGUAUGGAUUCAUGUGAAAAAAAAAUUCAGAGAAUGAGCAUUCUUUUGCUUCCUGUCUUCACAGAAGUGUAGUCUGCUAUUUUAUGAGACAAUG
This 132-nucleotide small nucleolar RNA is filed under the name Erinaceus europaeus (western European hedgehog). RNAcentral's name for it is "Small nucleolar RNA SNORA75 (ENSEEUG00000017702.1)". Lineage: Eukaryota; Metazoa; Chordata; Mammalia; Eulipotyphla; Erinaceidae. The record is from RNAcentral.